This 1326-nucleotide long non-coding RNA is filed under the name Gossypium raimondii (Peruvian cotton). RNAcentral describes it as "long non-coding RNA (GRAI_LNC002051)". The record is from RNAcentral. Lineage: Eukaryota; Viridiplantae; Streptophyta; Magnoliopsida; Malvales; Malvaceae.
CUGAAAGGUUGUUGAAUUAAGAGAAAGAGUGCUCAGUUAGUACUCCUUAAUCCACCUAGCACACGUCCUUAUCGUCAUUCAAUUAUUUUAAUAAUCUAAUCUAGCAGCAAGGCUGAAGAAAAUCACUUACGAAAUGAAUUCUUAACCCCAAAUAAAUUCAAAUUCAAAUAGAGAACAUUCAUACUUGAAUACCUACCUUUAAUUUUUAAUUAAAAGUGCACUAAGUAUUUUAGAGAUUUCACCUUGAGUUAAUUAAAGAAAAUCCUCCAGCGGCUUCCAAAAUUAAAUCUGAGUUGCUUCAAUUAGCGGCAUGCUAAUUUAUUAUUACUGACUCUAAGUUUAAUUAAGAAAUUCGAUUACUCAAUUACUCUUAGAUAAUUAUAAGAAAUGUCCUAAAUUAGAUAGGCGAUCAAUCUAAUUAAUUUAGAGACAAAACUCUUUGAACAAGAAAAUUUAAUAACUCAAGAAUGCUAAAUCCGAAUUUAAACAAAUAAACCUUCAAAUUUCUUGUGCUAAGUUUCAUAAGUAUCUAACUGAGCUUAAUUAAUUUAGCCACUCAUAGCAAUCGAAACGAAACAAAAAUCAAUUGUAAACAGCAUAAAUUACAGACUGAAUCCUGGAAAAGAAAAAUCUUCAAAUCGUCGAGUUUCCCUUCUUUCGAUUAGCUGAAAUUCUGGGCUGUUACGUCAAUUUUUAUUCGGCUUUGCUGAUUCAAUUUCAGAUUUCCCUUUGCUCGAGUGCCACGCUUCUCUGCUGCUGUGUGUUCCUCUGUUUUUUCGACUCUUCCCUUUUUUUAGCUGCUGGUCACUUCUAUUUAAGGAGUAAUGAUAUUAACCUUCCAUAAUUCAAAUAAAAUUUGAUCUUAUCCCCCUUUAUCCUAGCUGAAACCGUCGCACAAGAAUAGCUCCAGCUCAUGUAGAGUUCCAUUUCAAUUUUACUUCUUAAAGCUGCACAUAAUCACUUGACUUUAAUUAAAGUCGGUCACCACUCCAAGAGGGAAGUUAAAUAAUUCCCUUGCUGAUUUUGCUGCAUAUUCGGUCUGCUGUUAUUUAAUUGGACCGAAUUUUGUUUUUUUGUUUGUCCAAUGCCAAUUUAAUUUCUUCAAAACCAGCAAAUGAUCAUUCCCAUCUAGCAGCUUUAAUCAUGCAAAUUAAUUUCCAAAUCAAGCCCAUACGGACAUCCAAGUGUUCCUUACAUUCGGCCUGUUGCUUUUUAUUGGACCGAAUGUUGUCCUCAAUGUUAAUUUAGCCUGCAUAUGAUCAUCAUUCAGCAGUUUAUUCAUGCAGAUUGACUUCCAAAAUUGAGCUUAUACGGGCACCAAAAUGU